GAGACUCCAAUUACAGCACAUAUACCAAAAUUUGAAUAAUAUAGAGAAGAUUAGCAUGGCCCCUGUGCAAGAGUGAAACACAAAUUCAUGAAGUGUCCAGUAUAAAA
Small nuclear RNA from Carlito syrichta (Philippine tarsier), 107 nucleotides. The record is from Ensembl. Lineage: Eukaryota; Metazoa; Chordata; Mammalia; Primates; Tarsiidae.